UACAGAGGGUGCAAGCGUUAAUCGGAGUUACUGGGCGUAAAGGGCGCGUAGGCGGUCAUGCAAGUGAGAUGUGAAAACCCCGGGCUUAACCUGGGAACUGCAUUUUAGACUGUGUGACUGGAGUACUGUAGAGGAUAGUGGAAUUUCCGGUGUAGCGGUGAAAUGCGUAGAGAUCGGAAGGAACACCAGUGGCGAAGGCGACUGUCUGGACAGAUACUGACGCUGAGGCGCGAAAGCGUGGGGAGCAAACAGG
RNAcentral lists this ribosomal RNA (253 nucleotides) under uncultured bacterium. Its description in RNAcentral is "partial 16S ribosomal RNA". It matches the Rfam family "Bacterial small subunit ribosomal RNA", at positions 524 to 776 of the family's 1533-position model. The record is from RNAcentral.